RNAcentral lists this ribosomal RNA (322 nucleotides) under Leaunio lienosus. RNAcentral describes it as "partial large subunit ribosomal RNA". It matches the Rfam family "Bacterial large subunit ribosomal RNA", at positions 1799 to 2307 of the family's 2925-position model. Lineage: Eukaryota; Metazoa; Mollusca; Bivalvia; Unionida; Unionidae. The record is from RNAcentral.
CCUGUUUAACAAAAACAUCGUCUUUUGUUUACUCGCAUAAAAGAUAAUGCCUGCCCAGUGAAAAUUUUAAACGGCCGCGUUAGCGUGAGCGUGCUAAGGUAGCGUAAUAAAUAGCCUCUUAAUUGGAGGCCAGUGAAUGGCAAGACUAGGGAUAUCUGUACCCUGUAUAAAAAAACAACUUUUCAUCUGGGUGAAAAGACCCAGAUAAUAAAGGAAGACGAAAAGACCCCGCGGAACUUUACCUUUUCCAGUCUCCACAUGCUCAGAAACAUAAAAACAAAAGGUUUGAUUGGGGCAAUCUCGGAACAAACCAAACUUCCGA